This 468-nucleotide ribosomal RNA is filed under the name uncultured bacterium. RNAcentral describes it as "partial 16S ribosomal RNA". It matches the Rfam family "Bacterial small subunit ribosomal RNA", at positions 28 to 507 of the family's 1533-position model. The record is from RNAcentral.
GACGAACGCUGGCGGCGUGCUUAACACAUGCAAGUCGAACGGAAAGGCCCUGCGUUUGUGGGGUGCUCGAGUGGCGAACGGGGGAGUAACACGGGAGUAACCUGGCCUUGACUUUGGGAUAACUUCAGGAAACUGGGGCUAAUACCGGAUAGGAGCUCCUGCUGCAUGGUGGGGGUUGGAAAGUUUCGGCGGUUGGGGAUGGACUCGCGGCGUAUCAGCUUGUUGGUGGGGUAGUGGCUUACCAAGGCUUUGACGGGUAGCCGGCCUGAGAGGGUGACCGGCCACAUUGGGUCUGAGAUACGGCCCAGACUCCUACGGGAGGCAGCAGUGGGGAAUAUUGCACAAUGGGCGGAAGCCUGAUGCAGCAACGCCGCGUGCGGGAUGACGGCCUUCGGGUUGUAAACCGCUUUCGCCUGUGACGAAGCGUGAGUGACGGUAAUGGGUAAAGAAGCACCGGCUAACUACGUG